This 253-nucleotide ribosomal RNA is filed under the name uncultured bacterium. RNAcentral's name for it is "partial 16S ribosomal RNA". It matches the Rfam family "Bacterial small subunit ribosomal RNA", at positions 524 to 776 of the family's 1533-position model. The record is from RNAcentral.
UACGAAGGGGGCUAGCGUUGUUCGGAUUUACUGGGCGUAAAGCGCACGUAGGCGGAUUGUUAAGUCAGGGGUGAAAUCCCAGAGCUCAACUCUGGAACUGCCUUCGAUACUGGAAGUCUUGAGUCCGGGAGAGGUGAGUGGAACUCCGAGUGUAGAGGUGAAAUUCGUAGAUAUUCGGAAGAACACCAGUGGCGAAGGCGGCUCACUGGCCCGGUACUGACGCUGAGAUACGAAAGCGUGGGGAGCAAACAGG